GAUGAACGCUGGCGGCGUGCUUAACACAUGCAAGUCGAACGAGAAGUGAAGACGGAAACCUUCGGGCGGAAGGCUUUAUUUCUAGUGGCGGACGGGUGAGUAACGCGUGGGUAACCUGCCUCAUACAGGGGGAUAACAGUUGGAAACGACUGUUAAUACCGCAUAAGACCACAGCACCGCAUGGUGCGGGGGUAAAAACUCCGGUGGUAUGAGAUGGACCCGCGUUCGAUUAGCCAGUUGGCGGGGUAACGGCCCACCAAAGCGACGAUCGAUAGCCGAUCUGAGAGGAUGACCGGACACAUUGGGACUGAGACACGGCCCAAACUCCUACGGGAGGCAGCAGUGGGGAAUAUUGCACAAUGGGGGAAACCCUGAUGCAGCGACGCCGCGUGAGUGAAGAAGUAUUUCGGUAUGUAAAGCUCUAUAAGCAGGGAAGAAAAUGACGGUACCUGAGUAAGAAGCCCCGGCUAACUACGUG
RNAcentral lists this ribosomal RNA (478 nucleotides) under uncultured bacterium. Its description in RNAcentral is "partial 16S ribosomal RNA". It matches the Rfam family "Bacterial small subunit ribosomal RNA", at positions 28 to 507 of the family's 1533-position model. The record is from RNAcentral.